GGCUUGCCAUUUUGGUUAGUGGCAUACGGGUGAGUAAUGCUUGGGAAUCUACCUAGAAGUUCAGGAUAAGCACUAGAAAUGGUGUCUAAUACUGGAUAAUACCCUGAGGGGGAAAGGUUGCGCGUAUCUUUUAAAGUCUUUUUGAUUUUAAAAGAUACGUUUCUGCUUCUAGAUGAGCCCAAGUUGGAUUAUGUUUGUUGGUGAGGUAAUGGCUUACCAAGACUAUGAUCCAUAGCUGGUCUGAGAGGAUGAUCAGCCACACUGGAACUGAGACACGGUCCAGACUCCUACGGGAGGCAGCAGUGAGGAAUAUUGGACAAUGGGCGCAAGCCUGAUCCAGCCACACCGCAUGAGUGAUGAAGGUCUUAGGACUGUAAAGCUCUUUCAGCAGGAAAGACUAUGACGGUACCUGCAAAAGAAGUCCCGGCUAACUCCGUGCCAGCAGCCGCGGUAAUACGGAGGGGGCGAGCGUUGUUCGGAUUUAUUGGGCGUAAAGGGUGCGUAGGCUGUAUGAUAAGUUAGGGGUGAAAUUCCAGGGCUCAACCUUGGAGCUGCUUCUAAAACUGUCACACUGGAGUCAGAGAGAGGAUAACAGAAUUCCUAGUGUAGGGGUGAUAUCC
Molecule: ribosomal RNA, 620 nt
Filed under: uncultured bacterium
Lineage: Bacteria
Description: bacterial SSU rRNA
Rfam family: Bacterial small subunit ribosomal RNA
Source: RNAcentral